RNAcentral lists this ribosomal RNA (468 nucleotides) under uncultured bacterium. RNAcentral's name for it is "partial 16S ribosomal RNA". It matches the Rfam family "Bacterial small subunit ribosomal RNA", at positions 28 to 507 of the family's 1533-position model. The record is from RNAcentral.
GACGAACGCUGGCGGCGUGCUUAACACAUGCAAGUCGAACGGAAAGGCCCUGCUUUUGUGGGGUGCUCGAGUGGCGAACGGGUGAGUAACACGUGAGUAACCUGCCCUUGACUUUGGGAUAACUUCAGGAAACUGGGGCUAAUCCCGGAUAGGAGCUCCUGCUGCGUGGUGGGGGUUGGAAAGUUUCGGCGGUUGGGGAUGGACUGGCGGCUUAUCAGCUUGUUGGUGGGGUAGUGGCUGACCAAGGCUUUGACGGGUAGCCGGCCUGAGAGGGUGACCGGCCACAAGGGGACUACGAUAGGGCGCAGACUCCUACGGGGGGCAGCGGGGGGGAGUAUUGCACAAUGGGCGGAAGCCUGAUGCAGCGACGCCGCGGGCGUGAAGACGGCCUGCUGGUUGUAAACCGCUUUCGCCUGUGACGAAGCUUUAGUGACGGUAAUGGGUAAAGAAGCACCGGCUAACUACGUG